Molecule: ribosomal RNA, 236 nt
Filed under: uncultured bacterium
Lineage: Bacteria
Description: partial 16S ribosomal RNA
Rfam family: Bacterial small subunit ribosomal RNA
Source: RNAcentral
CACGUAGGGCGCAAGCGUUGUCCGGAAUUAUUGGGCGUAAAGAGCUCGUAGGCGGUCUGUUGCGUCCGCUGUGAAAACUCGGGGCUUAACCCCGAGCCUGCAGUGGAUACGGGCAGACUAGAGGUAGGUAGGGGAGAAUGGAAUUCCUGGUGUAGCGGUGAAAUGCGCAGAUAUCGAGAGGAACACCUGCGGCGAAGGCGGGUAGCUGGGCCGACACUGACGCUGAGGCGCGAAAG